UACGUAGGGUGCAGGCGUUAUCCGGAAUUAUUGGGCGUAAAGAGCUCGUAGGCGGUUUGUCGCGUCUGCUGUGAAAACCGGAGGCUCAACCUCCGGCCUGCAGUGGGUACGGGCAAACUAGAGUGCGGUAGGGGAGAUUGGAAUUCCUGGUGUAGCGGUGGAAUGCGCAGAUAUCAGGAGGAACACCGAUGGCGAAGGCAGCUCGCUGGGACGGUACUGACGCUGAGACGCGAAAGCGUGGGGAGCAAACAGG
Molecule: ribosomal RNA, 253 nt
Filed under: uncultured bacterium
Lineage: Bacteria
Description: partial 16S ribosomal RNA
Rfam family: Bacterial small subunit ribosomal RNA
Source: RNAcentral